CACGUAGGGGGCAAGCGUUGUCCGGAUUUAUUGGGCGUAAAGAGCUCGUAGGUGGUUCGGUAAGUCAGGUGUGAAACCUCCAGGCUCAACCUGGAGACGCCACUUGAUACUGCUGUGACUGGAGUCCGGUAGGGGAGCGUGGAAUUCCUGGUGUAGCGGUGAAAUGCGCAGAUAUCAGGAGGAACACCAGCGGCGAAGGCGGCGCUCUGGGCCGGUACUGACACUGAGGUGCGAAAGCGUGGGUAGCAAACAGG
Molecule: ribosomal RNA, 254 nt
Filed under: uncultured bacterium
Lineage: Bacteria
Description: partial 16S ribosomal RNA
Rfam family: Bacterial small subunit ribosomal RNA
Source: RNAcentral